This 253-nucleotide ribosomal RNA is filed under the name uncultured bacterium. Its description in RNAcentral is "partial 16S ribosomal RNA". It matches the Rfam family "Bacterial small subunit ribosomal RNA", at positions 524 to 776 of the family's 1533-position model. The record is from RNAcentral.
UACGUAGGGUGCAAGCGUUGUCCGGAAUUAUUGGGCGUAAAGAGCUCGUAGGCGGUCUGUCGCGUCUGCUGUGAAAACCUGGGGCUUAACCCCGGGCCUGCAGUGGGUACGGGCAGACUAGAGUGCGGUAGGGGAGACUGGAAUUCCUGGUGUAGCGGUGAAAUGCGCAGAUAUCAGGAGGAACACCGGUGGCGAAGGCGGGUCUCUGGGCCGUAACUGACGCUGAGGAGCGAAAGCGUGGGGAGCGAACAGG